GUGACUGCGUACCUUUUGUAUAAUGGGUCAGCGACUUAUAUUCUGUAGCAAGGUUAACCGAAUAGGGGAGCCGAAGGGAAACCGAGUCUUAACUGGGCGUUAAGUUGCAGGGUAUAGACCCGAAACCCGGUGAUCUAGCCAUGGGCAGGUUGAAGGUUGGGUAACACUAACUGGAGGACCGAACCGACUAAUGUUGAAAAAUUAGCGGAUGACUUGUGGCUGGGGGUGAAAGGCCAAUCAAACCGGGAGAUAGCUGGUUCUCCCCGAAAGCUAUUUAGGUAGCGCCUCGUGAAUUCAUCUCCGGGGGUAGAGCACUGUUUCGGCAAGGGGGUCAUCCCGACUUACCAACCCGAUGCAAACUGCGAAUACCGGAGAAUGUUAUCACGGGAGACACACGGCGGGUGCUAACGUCCGUCGUGAAGAGGGAAACAACCCAGACCGCCAGCUAAGGUCCCAAAGUCAUGGUUAAGUGGGAAACGAUGUGGGAAGGCCCAGACAGCCAGGAUGUUGGCUUAGAAGCAGCCAUCAUUUAAAGAAAGCGUAAUAGCUCACUGGUCGAGUCGGCCUGCGCGGAAGAUGUAACGGGGCUAAACCAUGCACCGAAGCUGCGGCAGCGACACUAUGUGUUGUUGGGUAGGGGAGCGUUCUGUAAGCCUGUGAAGGUGUACUGUGAGGUAUGCUGGAGGUAUCAGAAGUGCGAAUGCUGACAUAAGUAACGAUAAAGCGGGUGAAAAGCCCGCUCGCCGGAAGACCAAGGGUUCCUGUCCAACGUUAAUCGGGGCAGGGUGAGUCGACCCCUAAGGCGAGGCCGAAAGGCGUAGUCGAUGGGAAACAGGUUAAUAUUCCUGUACUUGGUGUUACUGCGAAGGGGGGACGGAGAAGGCUAUGUUGGCCGGGCGACGGUUGUCCCGGUUUAAGCGUGUAGGCUGAUUUUCCAGGCAAAUCCGGAAAAUCAAGGCUGAGGCGUGAUGACGAGGCACUACGGUGCUGAAGCAACAAAUGCCCUGCUUCCAGGAAAAGCCUCUAAGCAUCAGGUAACAUCAAAUCGUACCCCAAACCGACACAGGUGGUCAGGUAGAGAAUACCAAGGCGCUUGAGAGAACUCGGGUGAAGGAACUAGGCAAAAUGGUGCCGUAACUUCGGGAGAAGGCACGCUGAUAUGUAGGUGAAGCGACUUGCUCGUGGAGCUGAAAUCAGUCGAAGAUACCAGCUGGCUGCAACUGUUUAUUAAAAACACAGCACUGUGCAAACACGAAAGUGGACGUAUACGGUGUGACGCCUGCCCGGUGCCGGAAGGUUAAUUGAUGGGGUUAGCGGUAACGCGAAGCUCUUGAUCGAAGCCCCGGUAAACGGCGGCCGUAACUAUAACGGUCCUAAGGUAGCGAAAUUCCUUGUCGGGUAAGUUCCGACCUGCACGAAUGGCGUAAUGAUGGCCAGGCUGUCUCCACCCGAGACUCAGUGAAAUUGAACUCGCUGUGAAGAUGCAGUGUACCCGCGGCAAGACGGAAAGACCCCGUGAACCUUUACUAUAGCUUGACACUGAACAUUGAGCCUUGAUGUGUAGGAUAGGUGGGAGGCUUUGAAGUGUGGACGCCAGUCUGCAUGGAGCCGACCUUGAAAUACCACCCUUUAAUGUUUGAUGUUCUAACGUUGGCCCGUUAUCCGGGUUGCGGACAGUGUCUGGUGGGUAGUUUGACUGGGGCGGUCUCCUCCUAAAGAGUAACGGAGGAGCACGAAGGUUGGCUAAUCCUGGUCGGACAUCAGGAGGUUAGUGCAAUGGCAUAAGCCAGCUUGACUGCGAGCGUGACGGCGCGAGCAGGUGCGAAAGCAGGUCAUAGUGAUCCGGUGGUUCUGAAUGGAAGGGCCAUCGCUCAACGGAUAAAAGGUACUCCGGGGAUAACAGGCUGAUACCGCCCAAGAGUUCAUAUCGACGGCGGUGUUUGGCACCUCGAUGUCGGCUCAUCACAUCCUGGGGCUGAAGUAGGUCCCAAGGGUAUGGCUGUUCGCCAUUUAAAGUGGUACGCGAGCUGGGUUUAGAACGUCGUGAGACAGUUCGGUCCCUAUCUGCC
Molecule: ribosomal RNA, 2069 nt
Filed under: Escherichia coli 110957
Lineage: Bacteria; Pseudomonadati; Pseudomonadota; Gammaproteobacteria; Enterobacterales; Enterobacteriaceae
Description: bacterial LSU rRNA
Rfam family: Bacterial large subunit ribosomal RNA
Source: RNAcentral